This 372-nucleotide ribosomal RNA is filed under the name uncultured Glomeromycotina. RNAcentral describes it as "LSU rRNA". The record is from RNAcentral. Lineage: Eukaryota; Fungi; Glomeromycota.
UUGAAAGGGAAACGAUUGAAGUCAGUCGUACCUUCGGGUAAUCAGCCUUUCGGGUGCGAUUCUGUGGAGCGUGGGGAGUUAAACGCCUUCAUGCCUGCAUAUUCGUGCACUUUGGGUGUACUUGCCCGUGUGGUAGGUUAACAUCAAUUUCGGAUGUCAUAAAAUGGCUGGAGGAAUGUAGCUUCGGUCUCGUACUGAAGUGUUAUAGCCUUUGGUAGAUGUGAUGACCGGGAUUGAGGAUUGCAACGAAUACCUUUUGGGCUAUCCGUCUGAUCUCUGAAAGUUGCUCUGGUGCCGAAAGCUUGCUUACGGUUAUCAAAGUUGACGUUCAAAAGGUUAGAACGGGUUAAAUUCGUUAAGGAUGUUGACGUA